This is a non-coding RNA of Hyaena hyaena (striped hyena), 73 nucleotides long. The record is from the annotation of a RefSeq genome assembly. NCBI's taxonomy places the organism in Eukaryota, Metazoa, Chordata, Mammalia, Carnivora, Hyaenidae.
GCCUGGCCAGCUCAGUCGGUGGAGCAUGUGACCUCUGAUCUCAGGGUUGUGGGUUCAAGCCCCACGUUGGGCA